CCCUUAGAUGUUCGGGGCCGCACGCGCGCUACACUGAAGGAAUCAGCACGUCUUUCUCCUUGUCCGAAAGGACUGGGUAACCCGCUGAACCUCCUUCGUGCUAGGGAUUGGGGCUUGUAAUUCUUCCCCAUGAACGAGGAAUUCCCAGUAAGCGCGAGUCAUAAGCUCGCGUUGAUUACGUCCCUGCCCUUUGUACACACCGCCCGUCGCUACUACCGAUUGGAUGGUUUAGUGAGAUCCUCGGAUUGGUCCCGGAGCGGCCUCUGGUCGUGCCGGAGUGCCGAAAAGAAUGUCGAACUUGAUCAUCUAGAGGAAGGAGAAGUCGUAACA
This 330-nucleotide ribosomal RNA is filed under the name uncultured eukaryote. RNAcentral's name for it is "partial 18S ribosomal RNA". It matches the Rfam family "Eukaryotic small subunit ribosomal RNA", at positions 1470 to 1796 of the family's 1831-position model. The record is from RNAcentral.